This 362-nucleotide long non-coding RNA is filed under the name Hordeum vulgare. RNAcentral's name for it is "long non-coding RNA (HVUL_LNC016856)". Lineage: Eukaryota; Viridiplantae; Streptophyta; Magnoliopsida; Poales; Poaceae. The record is from RNAcentral.
CUGUCACAGUGGUAGCCAGCCUGCUGUUAAGUACUUGUUGUGUCGCAGGUUCAAUCCCUGCUUUUGGCAAAUUUUCUUUUUUAGAUUUCGUCAACUUAAUACUAGAGAACGCAAAAAACAUGCGCGAAUUGGAACUCGAACGCGCGACCUGACGUUGGGUAGCAUUAAGCUUUAACCACCACAGCAAAAGAACUACCAUGAUUUACAUGAGAUUGGACCUUACUUAGCUAUAGUUUCAGCGUUCAAAUUCAAAAAUUUCAAAAAUUCGAUUUUUUUUGCUCGGGAUGCCCAAUUUCCGAGGGGUAGCGAGAAUCGCGGGUACCGCCCGGUAUCCGUUUUUCUCGCUCGGUACCCAAAACCGU